GAUCAACGCUGGCGGCGUGCUUAACACAUGCAAGUCGAACGAAGUUUUUCCUUCGGGAGCAACUUAGUGGCGGACGGGUGAGUAACGCGUGGGUAACCUGCCCUGUACAGGGGGACAACAGCUGGAAACGGCUGCUAAUACCGCAUAAGCACUUAGCACUGCAUGGUGCAUAGGGAAAAGGAGCAAUCCGGUACAGGAUGGACCCGCGUCUGAUUAGCCAGUUGGCAGGGUAACGGCCUACCAAGGCGACGAUCAGUAGCCGAUCUGAGAGGAUGUACGGCCACAUUGGGACUGAGACACGGCCCAGACUCCUACGGGAGGCAGCAGUGGGGAAUAUUGCACAAUGGAGGAAACUCUGAUGCAGCGACGCCGCGUGAGUGAAGAAGUAUUUCGGUAUGUAAAGCUCUAUCAGCAGGGAAGAAAAUGACGGUACCUGACUAAGAAGCACCGGCUAAAUACGUG
RNAcentral lists this ribosomal RNA (462 nucleotides) under uncultured bacterium. Its description in RNAcentral is "partial 16S ribosomal RNA". It matches the Rfam family "Bacterial small subunit ribosomal RNA", at positions 28 to 507 of the family's 1533-position model. The record is from RNAcentral.